This 240-nucleotide unclassified non-coding RNA is filed under the name Hevea brasiliensis (rubber tree). The record is from RNAcentral. Lineage: Eukaryota; Viridiplantae; Streptophyta; Magnoliopsida; Malpighiales; Euphorbiaceae.
GUGAAAAGUGGUGCCGAUGGUUUCGUGAUUAAAAUGAGGGAUGGUAGGCACUUAAGGUGUGUUCACAACAACCCUCACGGUGGGCAUCUGCCUGAUUAUGCUCCACAUCCUGCAAUUGUGCUGAAGAUGGAAGAUGGGACUGGCCUUCUUCUUCCCAUAAUCGUGUUGGAAAUGCCCAGUGUGCUGCUUAUGGCUGCUGUGCGCAAUGUUCCAAUUGCCAGACCAACUAUGUAUCAAGUG